GCAGUAGUUCACUAGCAUCCACUGGAGAGGGGAAUGGCUUACAGAGCUGUAAUUAGAAUAAAAUGUGUAGAGAUUUUUUACACGGGUCAUCCAAAAAGUGACUUUUUCUCCAGACACAACUGGAAGUAUAUAUUUUGUGCAUAAAACAAAACAGAGGUCAAAAUGCUCUAUUGAAGUUGAUCCGUGAAGAUGCCUAUGAAGCUGUGAAAUUUCCAUCUUAAGAACCUGGCUGGGGGCAAGCUACAUGAAUGUCUGAAUCUGCAUCUUCUUAGAGUUGGACCACUCACUGUAGGUCUGGUGGCUGGGAGCAACACAGAGAUAAGGAAACUGAUACACAAAGAGAUUAAGUAAAUUGCCAAAGGAAGUAGCAGAGCUGUGAUAUGUACCAGGGAGCCUGAAUCCAGAGCCCAAUAUAUUCCAGUGUCUCUCUGGAGGCCUUUUCAAAUGAAUCGACUGAUGGGGACCAUAAUUGACUGUGUACAAAGACGUAGCCAAGGACAUCCUUUCCCAGUAAUCUCCUAGGAAGCUUUCAUACUACAUGAUUUACUACGUAAUUAAAAGAAGAUGUCUGCUUUGACACGUACUUACAAAUUGCCUCAAUUUGGAAGAGAAAUCACAGCUUUUUAGGCUCCACUGUCCAAGGUUUCACCAGGGAUGCUUUCUUCUGAGUAGUGACUCAAGGAUUGAGUCUGUUUCAAGCUUGAGGCUUCACAGUAUCAGCACAAUCACCUUGGCGGAGAAUGAAAGAGAAGGAGAUAACUCAUGCUUCAAACUUUAAAAGAACAUAAAUCACUUGGUCCAGUUGGCUAGAAGGAAUCACGUGGCCUCAAAAUAACUGUAAAGAAGAUUUAAGUGUAUGCAUUUUCUUUGUGGAAGGAGAGGAGGUAAAGGAUCUGUUUGUUUCCACAAGAUGUACAAACUAUGAAAUCUGAGCACUCAUGGAAUUAUAAGUUUCUUAAUGAAAUCUUUUCACUCAUCUGGACAUAGAUAAACUUGUCAGCCACUUACAGAGUACUGAAAACUGUUCCAGCCCCGAAAUAUCACUCCUAUCAGCCUGCCAGUCACUCAUAAAUUCUCUAGAGUUGUUUUGUAGCCAACAGGACUUUCAAGGAAAGAGACAGAUAGCAGAAUGCAUGAUUGCAGAUUGGUACAGAUCAUAAGUGAGUUUUGAGUGGAAUGCUUGCCGGAGAGCACUGUGAAAAUGAUGGUGGGGAGCACAAGUCAACGUCUAGGUACAACUAUACCAGAUGAUAUUAUAAAGUGGGCCCCUUCACACCGAUGCCUAGACUCACCAUGAAAUUGACAACUCCUAAUUGGAAUGGCCAGAGGAGUGUUGUGUUGGAGAUUUUCAUCUUGCACUUGUGGUGCCAGCAGUGACCUGAUUUGCUGAAAUAUUGGACAACUCUUGAAAGCAAACAGAAAACAACCUUGUCUCUUUUGUGAGCAUUAGCAUCCAGGUAAACAAAAACGAUUCCUCUUAUGGCAAAAUUAGGGGUCAUUCAACAGAUUAAAGACCUUGGCAUGUUGGGCAAUGGGUGAAGUGGGCAAGGGAAAACAUGGAUUUUCUAAUUUCAUGCCUUUAAGUCAUCACUUACACUACUAAUGCAAAAGAUUCAGCAUCUUAUGAAGAGCACACAACAUAUUUUUUAUUACCUAAUCAAAUUCCUACCCAUCUGGAGCUGCUGCAAUGAGAACUGGUCAGAUUCCUUCCCGUGUUCAACUGCUGGUCUUCACUAAGCAUGACAUACUACAAAAUUCCAUGUCAUGAAAGCUGCCUGGAAUACCACAAUGAGAAACGGACAAGGAAAGGAAGAGCAGUGCAAAUUACAACCGCAGCAAUAAUACCCACUGAGUUUACUUGCCAUUUUAUUUUUGUUAAAGUAUGCAUACAAACAUGCAUAACAAUAACAUUAUUAAAUGUUGGUGGAGAACCAACAUUUGAGAUUUACAUAAUUAUUGAGCUUGGUGAAAGCAGAGUCUAAAAAUCAAUGAUACAUGAAGAAAGAUAAUAAACAAUUGCUUAAGAGCCAUUUCAACUACAUUUCUGGAAAGUUUUAAGUUUUCCUUUAUGUUUAAUCAUACCAGAAAUGUGUGGUUUUUUUUUCCUCUAAGCCAACUAUUAUUCUAGUUGGUCUCUAAGCCCCUGAGGUGCAAACUUGAAGAUAGGGAAGGAGAUUUAGGUAAGCCAAAGAUUUUAUGAAUAUAUAAAAUUGAAUCUGGGCCAUUUCUAAAUAUAUUUAUUAUUUUUCCAAUACAUAAAAUAACUAACUUUUUUAAAAAAAUCAUUUUUAAGUCAUAAAAACUGAGCUUUUGAGUCAUUUGCUAUAUGUGAUAUAACCAAAUAUAUAAUUAGAGGGUGGCUUCAAGUAUUAUUCACUAGAGCUAAUUUUGCCAAUUAAAGGUAAAAGCAUAAGAAUAGGUAAAUAAUACAGAUCAAUUUUAUUCUCCUUUUAAACAAAAGUCCUGCGGUACCUUUCCUGUCCUGGGAGAUAAUGCUUAUUUUGUGAUAACUCUAUGUUUCUGGUUUACCUUUUUAACUAUUAAGGAAGAUAUUUUCUUUCUUUAUUUCCUUUCACAUAAUGCAGUUCUGCAGUUUAAAUGCUAAUUGGCCAUUUUGGUGGAGGAAUUCCUACUUAAAAGGUUUGCCAUUUAAUCCCAAAGUGUCUUUUGAUUUCUUGAGAAUGAUUAAAUGGAAAUUCAGCCCUGGUUCAGUAUCAUAGAAGCCCAUGUGCGGUCCGCUGUUGAAUUUCCAUGGUUUAAGCAGCCUGCUGGGAAACCCAGGCUGAGAUUUUAUUGAAUUGGGCCCUCCGUAUUCACACUCAAAAUAACCUCCAGCACACUGAUAAAAAUAAUGACCCUUUUGCAGUUGUAAAACUUGAAACUAUUUCUUAAAUGUUAACUAAUACCGAAAAGCUGUUUCUGCACAUGAAAUGGGGCCAUUGGAGCCAAGAAGUCAGUCUGGGUGAGGACCCAGAAGUGACAUUCCACUUUCUCUUUUAGUCAUUGCAAAAUCGUGCACUUUUCCUCUAAGCUUGUGAAGCCAUCACUUUAGAUUCUAUUAGGAUAAUGGACUUAGAGAUGAUGAUGAUGAAGAGCAGUGUCUUAGGAUGGAUAUGCACCUCUGCCUACAUAAUCCACCAUGAAUGACUUCUCAGUCCCCAGUGCUAAUGGCUUCUACAAAUAUCAGUAUUAUUUAGCUGAUGGAAAAUAAAAGGUACAAACUCAAAGUAAGUGUUAAGAAAUGCUGAUAACUUGCAGUAUUUGACAUCCAUUUCCCAAAGCCCUCAACAUUAUAAACACUUUCAGGUAAAACAAUUCAGUUCUCUCAUCUUGCUGAUACUCUCUCACUAGCCAGGAAGUCUUUUAUUCACAGCCAGUUUAAUAGGCAAUGGGAAAUAGCCCUAUUAGCUAAGUUUAUUUAUGCUGACACAAAGAAAAACCAUGAAAAAUCCAGGUUCUAAACUGUAAUUUAUUCCUGAUAAGUAGUAAAUCAGCAGGAUUCUAGUGCCCAAGUAGGGACUUGCCGUUAAACAAGAACUGAAACAUAAUGAGUCUCAUAAAUGUUCCCAGUGUUAUGGAGCAGUUAUUUAUACAUGAGCUCAUUCAACAAAACCUCCUGCUGGUCUGGCCGUGAUAACCUGGUGUACCCAAGACACUCUAAGAUAUACAAGAAUAAUUUUGACCCAAGUCUAGAAAGUUCAAGAAAAGUUUUUUGAAAAAAUAACAUUUGCCUCAUUUCGCUAGGUUAAUCCAGUCACUGUUUGCAAGCUUUUCUGAACCUCUCUAGGUUGAUUUCAAAAUAUCUAGUCCUCUGCUAUUAUGGUUAUUGAGGAUGUUUUCAGUAAAGGUAACAAUUGUCUGGACUGUAGUAUAGGAGUCGUCGUUAAAUUUUUGGCAAUUUUUCUCCAACUAAAACAGAAAAUGGUCGACCCCAUAAGAAAUUAUGUAGAAAGUUUACAGAGUAAGAUCAUGGUCUUCUUAUUGCCAAAGUAAAGUAUGGCGCAAUGCAGUGCAUACAUCAAAUACGGGCAUGGGAACAGCUAUACAUUCGUGCAGACGGUAUGACAAAAAAAUUGGGCCUUUCAGAAUUACUAUAGUGGAAUAUCAUAUUGAAAUGAUCAAAAAGAAACCUGCUAGAUUCAGAGGAAGAAGGACUAAACUUUAACCCGACAUCCUCUGUUUUCUAGCCAUAUAAACUACAUUAACUCACAUAAACUCAGCCAUGUAAGUUUUAUCAGUAAGAGAAGAGACAGGAGGAUAUGAAUACUGAAGUGGUCGAGGGAUGCAGGGGAAAUUCUGGAACAUGGAAGCACUGUUAAUUUAGGGUGAGCUAACAGGGGCAUAACAGGGAAGGCCUGGUGACUUGCUAGCCACAUGAGUAUCUGGAGCACUUUGGGAGAAGGCAGUAUGUAAAUUAACAAAAAAGAUAUGGAGUACCAAAUGUGAGCUGCUACCUUUCUCCCCCUCAAGAGCUGACAUUGGAUAGGCUGUAAAAUUUCACUGAGCGUGUUGUCUAAAACCCAUGCAAGCAUGUGACUACUGGUCUCUG
Molecule: non-coding RNA, 4549 nt
Organism: Microcebus murinus (gray mouse lemur)
Lineage: Eukaryota; Metazoa; Chordata; Mammalia; Primates; Cheirogaleidae
Source: RefSeq, a predicted model, not a curated record